UACGUAGGGGGCAAGCGUUGUCCGGAAUUACUGGGCGUAAAGCGCAUGUAGGCGGCUUUGUAAGUCAGAUGUUAAAUCCCCGGGCUUAACUCGGGGCCGCACCUGAUACUGCGAAGCUAGAGAUAUGUAGAGGAAAGCGGAACUACCGGUGUAGCGGUGAAAUGCGUAGAUAUCGGUAGGAACACCAGUGGCGAAGGCGGCUUUCUGGACAUUUUCUGACGCUGAGAUGCGAAAGCAAGGGGAGC
RNAcentral lists this ribosomal RNA (245 nucleotides) under uncultured bacterium. Its description in RNAcentral is "partial 16S ribosomal RNA". It matches the Rfam family "Bacterial small subunit ribosomal RNA", at positions 524 to 769 of the family's 1533-position model. The record is from RNAcentral.